CACGGCCUAUCAGCUUGUUGGUGAGGUAAAGGCUCACCAAGGCGACGACGGGUAGCCGGCCUGAGAGGGUGACCGGCCACACUGGAACUGAGACACGGUCCAGACUCCUACGGGAGGCAGCAGUGGGGAAUAUUGCACAAUGGGCGCAAGCCUGAUGCAGCAACGCCGCGUGAGGGAUGAAGGCCUUCGGGUUGUAAACCUCUUUCAGCAGGGAAGAAGCGAAAGUGACGGUACCUGCAGAAAAAGCACCGGCUAACUACGUGCCAGCAGCCGCGGUAAUACGUAGGGUGCAAGCGUUGUCCGGAAUUAUUGGGCGUAAAGAGCUCGUAGGCGGUUUGUCGCGUCUGCUGUGAAAACUGGAAGCUCAACUUCCAGCCUGCAGUGGGUACGGGCAGACUAGAGUGCGGUAGGGGAGAACGGAAUUCCUGGUGUAGCGGUGGAAUGCGCAGAUAUCAGGAGGAACACCGAUGGCGAAGGCAGUUCUCUGGGCCGUUACUGACGCUGAGGAGCGAAAGCGUGGGGAGCGAACAGGAUUAGAUACCCUGGUAGUCCACGCCGUAAACGGUGGGUGCUAGCUGUGGGCCACAUUCCACGUGGUCCGUGACGAAGUUAACACAUUAAGCACCCCGCCUGGGGAGUACGG
Molecule: ribosomal RNA, 643 nt
Filed under: uncultured actinomycete
Lineage: Bacteria; Bacillati; Actinomycetota; Actinomycetes; Actinomycetales
Description: bacterial SSU rRNA
Rfam family: Bacterial small subunit ribosomal RNA
Source: RNAcentral